UACGUAGGGGGCAAGCGUUGUCCGGAUUUAUUGGGCGUAAAGAGCUCGUAGGCGGCUUGGCAAGUCGGGUGUGAAAACUUCAGGCUCAACCUGGAGCGGCCACUCGAUACUGCUAUGGCUUGAGUCCGGUAGGGGACCACGGAAUUCCUGGUGUAGCGGUGAAAUGCGCAGAUAUCUGGAGGAACACCGGUGGCGAAGGCGGCAUCCUGGACCAACACUGACACUGAGGAGCGAAAGCGUGGGGAGCAAACAGG
RNAcentral lists this ribosomal RNA (254 nucleotides) under uncultured bacterium. RNAcentral describes it as "partial 16S ribosomal RNA". It matches the Rfam family "Bacterial small subunit ribosomal RNA", at positions 524 to 776 of the family's 1533-position model. The record is from RNAcentral.